This 396-nucleotide ribosomal RNA is filed under the name Chloroflexota bacterium. RNAcentral describes it as "bacterial SSU rRNA". It matches the Rfam family "Bacterial small subunit ribosomal RNA", at positions 1 to 402 of the family's 1533-position model. Lineage: Bacteria; Bacillati; Chloroflexota. The record is from RNAcentral.
UUGGUGGAGAGUUUGAUCCUGGCUCAGGAUCAACGCUGGCGGCGUGCCUAAUGCAUGCAAGUCGAGCGGGCUGCCUUCGGGCAGUCACGCGGCGGACGGGUGCGGAACACGUGGGCAAUCUGCCCUGGGGCGGGGGAUAUCCCUCGGAAACGAGAGGUAAUUCCGCAUACGCUCGGCCUUUAGUAGGAAGGCUGAGGAAAGGCGCAAGCCACCCUAGGAGGAGCCUGCGGCCGAUUAGCUAGAUGGCGGGGUAACAGCCCACCAUGGCUGUGAUCGGUAGCUGGUCUGAGAGGACGGCCAGCCACACGGGGACUGAGACACGGCCCCGACUCCUACGGGAGGCAGCAGCAAGGAAUCUUCCGCAAUGGGCGAAAGCCUGACGGAGCAACGCCGCGU